GUACACAAAAAUGCACAUAUUGUGAGCUCGAUGAGUAGGGCGGGACACGUGGUAUCCUGUCUGAAUAUGGGGGGACCAUCCUCCAAGGCUAAAUACUCCUGACUGACCGAUAGUGAACCAGUACCGUGAGGGAAAGGCGAAAAGAACCCCGGCGAGGGGAGUGAAAAAGAACCUGAAACCGUGUACGUACAAGCAGUGGGAGCCUCUUUAUGGGGUGACUGCGUACCUUUUGUAUAAUGGGUCAGCGACUUAUAUUCUGUAGCAAGGUUAACCGAAUAGGGGAGCCGAAGGGAAACCGAGUCUUAACUGGGCGUUAAGUUGCAGGGUAUAGACCCGAAACCCGGUGAUCUAGCCAUGGGCAGGUUGAAGGUUGGGUAACACUAACUGGAGGACCGAACCGACUAAUGUUGAAAAAUUAGCGGAUGACUUGUGGCUGGGGGUGAAAGGCCAAUCAAACCGGGAGAUAGCUGGUUCUCCCCGAAAGCUAUUUAGGUAGCGCCUCGUGAAUUCAUCUCCGGGGGUAGAGCACUGUUUCGGCAAGGGGGUCAUCCCGACUUACCAACCCGAUGCAAACUGCGAAUACCGGAGAAUGUUAUCACGGGAGACACACGGCGGGUGCUAACGUCCGUCGUGAAGAGGGAAACAACCCAGACCGCCAGCUAAGGUCCCAAAGUCAUGGUUAAGUGGGAAACGAUGUGGGAAGGCCCAGACAGCCAGGAUGUUGGCUUAGAAGCAGCCAUCAUUUAAAGAAAGCGUAAUAGCUCACUGGUCGAGUCGGCCUGCGCGGAAGAUGUAACGGGGCUAAACCAUGCACCGAAGCUGCGGCAGCGACACUAUGUGUUGUUGGGUAGGGGAGCGUUCUGUAAGCCUGUGAAGGUGGCCUGUGAGGGUUGCUGGAGGUAUCAGAAGUGCGAAUGCUGACAUAAGUAACGAUAAAGCGGGUGAAAAGCCCGCUCGCCGGAAGACCAAGGGUUCCUGUCCAACGUUAAUCGGGGCAGGGUGAGUCGACCCCUAAGGCGAGGCCGAAAGGCGUAGUCGAUGGGAAACAGGUUAAUAUUCCUGUACUUGGUGUUACUGCGAAGGGGGGACGGAGAAGGCUAUGUUGGCCGGGCGACGGUUGUCCCGGUUUAAGCGUGUAGGCUGGUUUUCCAGGCAAAUCCGGAAAACCAAGGCUGAGGCGUGAUGACGAGGCACUACGGUGCUGAAGCGACAAAUGCCCUGCUUCCAGGAAAAGCCUCUAAGCAUCAGGUAACAUCAAAUCGUACCCCAAACCGACACAGGUGGUCAGGUAGAGAAUACCAAGGCGCUUGAGAGAACUCGGGUGAAGGAACUAGGCAAAAUGGUGCCGUAACUUCGGGAGAAGGCACGCUGAUAUGUAGGUGAAGCGACUUGCUCGUGGAGCUGAAAUCAGUCGAAGAUACCAGCUGGCUGCAACUGUUUAUUAAAAACACAGCACUGUGCAAACACGAAAGUGGACGUAUACGGUGUGACGCCUGCCCG
Molecule: ribosomal RNA, 1500 nt
Filed under: Escherichia coli
Lineage: Bacteria; Pseudomonadati; Pseudomonadota; Gammaproteobacteria; Enterobacterales; Enterobacteriaceae
Description: partial 23S ribosomal RNA
Rfam family: Bacterial large subunit ribosomal RNA
Source: RNAcentral